CAAUGAAGGAAGUAUGAUAAUAUGCACAGAAAUUAAAUUAGGUUUUUAGGUCUGCCCUCUCUGAUGUCAUUUGGCUUUGAUUUGGAGACAUGAUCGGCAGCAAAACA
Small nucleolar RNA from Rhododendron vialii, 107 nucleotides. RefSeq annotates it as small nucleolar RNA snoR100. Lineage: Eukaryota; Viridiplantae; Streptophyta; Magnoliopsida; Ericales; Ericaceae. The transcript has a single exon. The record is from RefSeq and is a predicted model, not a curated record.